GCAUAUCAAUAAGCGGAGGAAAAGAAACCAACAGGGAUUGCCUCAGUAACGGCGAGUGAAGCGGCAACAGCUCAAAUUUGAAAUCUGGCCUCUUUGGGGUCCGAGUUGUAAUUUGUAGAGGAUGUUUCGGGUACCGCCUCGGUUUAAAUUUCUUGGAACAGAAUGUCAAAGAGGGUGAGAAUCCCGUCUUGGACCGGCGGUAGGGCCCAUGUGAAACUCCUUCGACGAGUCGAGUUGUUUGGGAAUGCAGCUCAAAAUGGGUGGUAAAUUUCAUCUAAAGCUAAAUAUUGGCCAGAGACCGAUAGCGCACAAGUAGAGUGAUCGAAAGAUGAAAAGCACUUUGAAAAGAGAGUUAAACAGUAUGUGAAAUUGUUGAAAGGGAAGCGCUUACAACCAGACUUGAGCGCGGCGGUUCCCCCUUCCUUUUGGUUGGGUUACUCCGCCGUGUCCAGGCCAACAUCGGUUCUGGGGGUCGGUCAAAGGCUUUGGGAAUGUACCUACCCUUCGGGCGUAGACUUAUAGCCCAGAGUGUCAUGCGGCCUCCCGGGACCGAGGAACGCGCUUCGGCUCGGAUGUUGGCGUAAUGGUUGUCAGCGACCCGUCUUGAAACACGGACC
RNAcentral lists this ribosomal RNA (617 nucleotides) under Chaetothyriales sp. JCM 28444. Its description in RNAcentral is "eukaryotic LSU rRNA". It matches the Rfam family "Eukaryotic large subunit ribosomal RNA", at positions 38 to 667 of the family's 3401-position model. The record is from RNAcentral. Lineage: Eukaryota; Fungi; Ascomycota; Eurotiomycetes; Chaetothyriales. RNAcentral also lists the same sequence under 2 other names.